Molecule: small nuclear RNA, 115 nt
Filed under: Sinocyclocheilus rhinocerous
Lineage: Eukaryota; Metazoa; Chordata; Actinopteri; Cypriniformes; Cyprinidae
Description: U5 spliceosomal RNA (ENSSRHG00000034905.1)
Rfam family: U5 spliceosomal RNA
About the family: U5 RNA is a component of both types of known spliceosome. The precise function of this molecule is unknown, though it is known that the 5' loop is required for splice site selection and p220 binding, and that both the 3' stem-loop and the Sm site are important for Sm protein binding and cap methylation.
Source: Rfam by way of RNAcentral
GCUCGAGCUUUUCUUCAUUAUCGCAUAAAUUUUUCGCCUUUUACUAAAGAUUUCCGUGGAGGGAAACUUUUUGCGACUGACUUGUAUUUUUGGAUGCUCUGAUCACAGCAGAGCU